AAAAAAAAAAACCCUCCUUCAAGGUUCACGUAACUGCUAUUGCUCCUUCCCUUGCUUGUUGUUGCUCACACCGCCACCACCACCAGUCACCUGCUCGACUGCCGGCGUCCCUCGCCGCCGCCUUCCGUUGUCCGCAACCACCGUGAACCACCUUGCUUCAGCCACCGACGCUGCAGCCUCGCCGUCAGCCUAACCCCGACCACCGCGUACGCCAAACACCACCGUCGGUGCGCCGCUGAGCUCCACCCCGACGCCGUUCCACAGCUGUCGUGCCUCCCUGCCGCCGGCCAGCGCCCUUUCCCUCCUCCUUUUGGCGGAGAAUUCUUUGUAGGCGAUUUUUGAAUUCGUUGAAGCGGCCUAUCGGUUUGUUUACACAAGUCUCUAAGGAUCAAUAAGCAUUGUCCAUCUGCAGGUUUGAAGAUGAUGCAUCAUUGGGAUCGGGAUUAGAGAGCUUGUAUUUAGUUUUGUUUUGCUAAGUGACUUGGUUGGUUUUUGGGAUUAAAUCUGUAAUAGAUUGUUUAUAAACCUAAAGUUAGUUUUAUGUUUUCCGCUGCGAAAUUCUGAGUAAGCCGUUACGUUUUCACACGGGCGAUAAUGCCUUGAUAAUUCUCUACGUUUUAUAUUAAAAGAUUAUUUUAGAAAAUAGAGAAUUGUCGGGGU
Long non-coding RNA from Spinacia oleracea (spinach), 660 nucleotides. RefSeq lists it as uncharacterized. The transcript has 5 exons. Lineage: Eukaryota; Viridiplantae; Streptophyta; Magnoliopsida; Caryophyllales; Amaranthaceae. The record is from RefSeq and is a predicted model, not a curated record.